GAGCAUAUCUUGGUUCAGUCUACCUUUCAAAUGGUUGUAUAGAUACCCCACACAAUGGUUAGAGUAAUAGCAAGAGGGAGGGAUUGUGUCUUGAGAAAGCUACACUUCACAGACAUCUCAAGUUCUGGCACCCCAGAUAAAGGAUGAAGGUCCCUGCC
Perognathus longimembris pacificus (Pacific pocket mouse) is the source of this 158-nucleotide long non-coding RNA. RefSeq lists it as uncharacterized. The transcript has 3 exons. NCBI's taxonomy places the organism in Eukaryota, Metazoa, Chordata, Mammalia, Rodentia, Heteromyidae. The record is from RefSeq and is a predicted model, not a curated record.